AGUGAACGCUGGCGGUAGGCCUAACACAUGCAAGUCGAACGACAGCACAGUAAGAGCUUGCUCUUACGAGUGGCGCGUGGCGGACGGGUGAGGAAUACAUCAGAAUCUACUUAUUCGCGGGGGAUUACGUAGGGAAACUUAUGACAAUACCGCAUACAACCUACGGGUGAAAGCAAGGGAUCUUCGGCCCUCUCGCAGCUAAAUGAUCCGAUGUCGGCUUAGCAAGUUGGCGGGGUAGAGGCCCACCAAGGCGACGAUCCGGAGCUGGUGUGCGAGGAUGAUCAGCCACACUGGAACUGAGACACGGUCCACACUCCUACGGGAGGCAGCAGUGGGGAAUAUUGGACAAUGGGCGCAAGCCUGAUCCAGCCAUACCGCGUGGGUGAAGAAGGCCUUCGGGUUGUAAAGCCCUUUUGUUGGGAAAGAAAAGCAGCAGGUUAAUACCCCGCUGUUCUGACGGUACCCAAAGAAUAAGCACCGGCUAACUUCGUG
This 492-nucleotide ribosomal RNA is filed under the name uncultured bacterium. RNAcentral describes it as "partial 16S ribosomal RNA". It matches the Rfam family "Bacterial small subunit ribosomal RNA", at positions 29 to 507 of the family's 1533-position model. The record is from RNAcentral.